UGGGGAAUUUUGGACAAUGGGCGAAAGCCUGAUCCAGCAAUGCCGCGUGUGUGAAGAAGGCCUUCGGGUUGUAAAGCACUUUUAUCCGGAAAGAAAUCCUUGGCUCUAAUACAGUCGGGGGAUGACGGUACCGGAAGAAUAAGCACCGGCUAACUACGUGCCAGCAGCCGCGGUAAUACGUAGGGUGCAAGCGUUAAUCGGAAUUACUGGGCGUAAAGCGUGCGCAGGCGGUUUGCUAAGACCGAUGUGAAAUCCCCGGGCUCAACCUGGGAACUGCAUUGGUGACUGGCAGGCUAGAGUAUGGCAGAGGGGGGUAGAAUUCCACGUGUAGCAGUGAAGUGCGUAGAGAUGUGGAGGAAUACCGAUGGCGAAGGCAGCCCCCUGGGCCAAUACUGACGCUCAUGCACGAAAGCGUGGGGAGCAAACAGGAUUAGAUACCCUGGUAGUCCACGCCCUAAACGAUGUCAACUAGUUGUUGGGGAUUCAUUUCCUUAGUAACGUAGCUAACGCGUGAAGUUGACCGCCUGGGGAGUACGGUCGCAAGAUUAAAACUCAAAUGAAUUGA
Molecule: ribosomal RNA, 565 nt
Filed under: uncultured bacterium
Lineage: Bacteria
Description: partial 16S ribosomal RNA
Rfam family: Bacterial small subunit ribosomal RNA
Source: RNAcentral